This is a non-coding RNA of Caenorhabditis elegans, 21 nucleotides long. NCBI's taxonomy places the organism in Eukaryota, Metazoa, Nematoda, Chromadorea, Rhabditida, Rhabditidae. The record is from Ensembl.
AUGAUUGCACCAGAUGUAAUG